Molecule: ribosomal RNA, 301 nt
Filed under: uncultured bacterium
Lineage: Bacteria
Description: partial 16S ribosomal RNA
Rfam family: Bacterial small subunit ribosomal RNA
Source: RNAcentral
CAGUCGCCGCGGGAAUACGUAGGUGGCAAGCGUUGUCCGGAAUUAUUGGGCGUAAAGGGCUCGCAGGCGGUUUCUUAAGUCUGAUGUGAAAGCCCCCGGCUCAACCGGGGAGGGUCAUUGGAAACUGGGAAACUUGAGUGCAGAAGAGGAGAGUGGAAUUCCACGUGUAGCGGUGAAAUGCGUAGAGAUGUGGAGGAACACCAGUGGCGAAGGCGACUCUCUGGUCUGUAACUGACGCUGAGGAGCGAAAGCGUGGGCAGCGAACAGGAUUAGAUACCCCCGUAGUCCCUGUCUCUUAUAC